Molecule: transfer RNA, 107 nt
Filed under: Plectosphaerella cucumerina
Lineage: Eukaryota; Fungi; Ascomycota; Sordariomycetes; Glomerellales; Plectosphaerellaceae
Rfam family: tRNA
About the family: Transfer RNA (tRNA) molecules are approximately 80 nucleotides in length.
Source: Rfam by way of RNAcentral
GGCGAGGUGGCCGAGUGGUUAAGGCGACAGACUAGAAUUGACUGUCCCAGACUAUUCUACGCCAUCUGUUGGGUUCGCCCGCGUAGGUUCAAAUCCUGCCCUCGUCG